Molecule: non-coding RNA, 135 nt
Organism: Triticum aestivum (bread wheat)
Lineage: Eukaryota; Viridiplantae; Streptophyta; Magnoliopsida; Poales; Poaceae
Source: Rfam
CAACUACUCCCUCUGUUCCAAAUUUCUUGUCUUAGAUUUGUCUAGAUACGGAUGUAUCUAAUACUAAAAUGUGACUUGAUACAUCCGUAUCUAGACAAAUCUAAGACAAGAAUUUUGGGAUGGAGGGAGUACUUU